GUCCACGCCGUAAACGUUGGGCACUAGGUGUGGGGCUCUAUCGACGGGUUCCGUGCCGUAGCUAACGCAUUAAGUGCCCCGCCUGGGGGAGUACGGCCGCAAGGCUAAAAACUCAAAGGAAUUGACGGGGGCCCGCACAAGCGGCGGAGCAUGUGGCUUAAUUCGAUGCAACGCGAAGAACCUUACCUGGGUUGAACUAUGUGGGAAAAAGCCGUAGAGAUACGGUGUCCUUCGGGGCCCACGAUAGGUGGUGCAUGGCUGUCGU
This 265-nucleotide ribosomal RNA is filed under the name uncultured bacterium. RNAcentral's name for it is "partial 16S ribosomal RNA". It matches the Rfam family "Bacterial small subunit ribosomal RNA", at positions 793 to 1055 of the family's 1533-position model. The record is from RNAcentral.